RNAcentral lists this ribosomal RNA (513 nucleotides) under uncultured Actinomycetes bacterium. RNAcentral's name for it is "bacterial SSU rRNA". It matches the Rfam family "Bacterial small subunit ribosomal RNA", at positions 369 to 896 of the family's 1533-position model. Lineage: Bacteria; Bacillati; Actinomycetota; Actinomycetes. The record is from RNAcentral.
CAAUGGGCGAAAGCCUGAUGCAGCGACGCCGCGUGGGGGAUGAAGGCCUUAGGGUCGUAAACCCCUUUCAGUGGGGAAGAAAUUGACGGUACCCACAGAAGAAGCCCCGGCCAACUACGUGCCAGCAGCCGCGGUAAGACGUAGGGGGCGAGCGUUGUCCGGAUUUAUUGGGUGUAAAGAGCUCGUAGGCGGUUUGCGUAAGUCGGAUGUGCAAACUCAGGGCUCAACCCUGAGACGCCAUCCGAUACUGCGCUGACUUGAGUCCGGUAGAGGAGUGUGGAAUUCCUAGUGUAGCGGUGAAAUGCGCAGAUAUUAGGAGGAACACCAAUUGCGAAGGCAGCACUCUGGGCCGGCACUGACGCUGAGGAGCGAAAGCGUGGGUAGCAAACAGGAUUAGAUACCCUGGUUGUCCACGCCGUAAACGGUGGGCACUAGGUGUGGGGUCUUUCAGCGGAUUCCGUGCCGAAGCUAACGCAUUAAGUGCCCCGCCUGGGGAGUACGGCCGCAAGGCUA